Molecule: ribosomal RNA, 2179 nt
Filed under: Lepocinclis sp. Saema103108C
Lineage: Eukaryota; Euglenozoa; Euglenophyceae; Euglenales; Phacaceae
Description: SSU rRNA
Rfam family: Eukaryotic small subunit ribosomal RNA
Source: RNAcentral
CCUGCCAGUAGUCAUAUGCUUCGUUCAAGGGCUAAGCCAUGCACGUGUCAGAGUACACGGCUUCAACAGUGGGUCUGUGAAUGGCUCCUUACAUCAGCAGUCAUCUCUGUGAUAGAGUGUGGAUGGUCCCGACUCCCAGGAGGCCCUAUUGGAUAUCCUCCAAAACCUAGUGGCUAAUACACGGCUGCCCAAGUCUGCUACAGCACGGUUUGCCCAGGCAUCCGCCUGUCAUUCCGGCAGUGGAUUGCACCCAGCCGCACCUGAAGACCGGCGCCUGGAAAUGGCAGCGUGUUUGUGGUUGACUCAGGCUGGUCCCCAGUGGACACUGUGUUGGCAGAGUGGAGCCUCGGCUCAGCAUUGCUUGAUCACACGAGCUUCUGACCUAUCAGCUUGGAUGGUGGUGUAUUGGACCACCAUGGCAGUGACGGGUGACGGAGAAUCAGGGUUCGAUUCCGGAGAGGGAGCCUGAGAGACGGCUACCACUGCUAAGGCGGGCAGCAGGCACGCAAAUUGCCCCAUGCUGAUACAUGGCUGGUGAGGCAGCGACGAACUGCAGCAAUCCCACUUGCCCUCGUGGCGGGUGGGACUUGCAAUGGAUGCAAUCCAAACACAGUGAUGAGUAUCGACUGGAGGGCAAGUCUGGUGCCAGCAGCUGCGGUAAUUCCAGCUCCAAGGGCGUAUACUAACAUUGCUGUUGUUAAAACACUUGUAGUCGGAUGCUGGGUUGCAGGUCUGUUGGAGGCAGCUGUGGGUUGCACAGUCCCUGUGCCUUCGGGCAUGGGGCUGGGUGGCCCUUCUGGCUGGUACAACCUCCAGCAGUAUGUCCCUGCACCCGUAUAAUGACGGUGUGAUUGGCUCCUGCUCCAAGUCUCCUUAAGUGGGGAUCGAUGCGGGUUUAUACCCCACGCUUGUGUGUUGACGUUUGAGGGGCACAGCCCCAGUGCUAUGCAGAUACCCUCAGUCCACCACCGGAGUCCACUGUCUCAGACACCGUGGAAAACUCAGUGUGCCCAAAGCAUCCCUUCGGCUGGAUGCCCGUCCAUGGAAUGUCAAAGCAUCGACCAGAUGUGGCUAUGAAGUUGUGCUGGCCUUGGUGCCCUUCUGGAGAACAUGGCUCUGUCACCUGUCUGGCAGUGACUCCAGCUUGCUGGGGUCCUCCUGCUUGGUAGGCUGGCACAGUCGAUCGUCCACGAUGGGACAGCUCGGGGUGAAAGAUAUUGCAACGCCAGAGGUGAAAUUCUUAGACCGCUGCAAGAUCAACUGCAGCGAAGGCGUUCUGCAAGUGCUCGUUCGUCGAUCAAGAAUGUGAGUGUGGGGAGCGAAGAUGAUCAGACACCGUCGUAGUCCACAACUGUAAACGAUGCCGGCUCGGUGUUGACAGGGCAAGUACACGGACCCUGUCAGCACCAUACCCCCUACAACGAGAAAUCCAAGCCCAUGGGUUCAAGGGGGAGUACUGUCGCAAGGCUGAAACUUAAAGGAAUUGACGGAAUGGCACCACAAGGCGUGGAGUAUGCGGCUUAAUUUGACUCAACACGGGGAAUGUUACCAGGUCCGGACGUUGCUGGGAUGGACAGAUUGAGAGCUCUUUCUUGAUCCUUCGGAUGGUGGUGCAUGGCCGCUCCUGAUUGGUGGAGUGAUUUGUCUGGUUGAUUCCGAUAACGAGUGAGACAUCUGCCUCCCAAUAGCCUUGGCCUCGCUCUGGUAGGACGUUUGUGGCGGACAAGGGUGGGGUUUCUCACCUGAGAAUGCCACUACUCGUCCGAGAGGCCCAAGUUCAGCUUCUCUGAGGUGCUGUGUACGCUUCCAAGUGCAUGCAUGCUAGAGCCAACAGCAGGUCUGUGAUGCUCCCAGAUGUCCUGGGCCGCACGCGCACUACAUUGGCCCGAAGAAUGUGCAGUGACACUCCCUCGUGGAGACCUUCUCAGACAUGAGCGGGAAACCCCUGGAGCUCGACCUUGGCCGUACUGGGGAUAGAUGAUUGCAACUGUCUGCCUUGAACGAGGAAUGCCUAGUAGGCGCAAGUCAUCAGCUUGCACCGAUUGUGUCCCUGCCAUUUGUACACACCGCCCGUCGUUGCUACCGAUGGUAGCUGGAUAGAGCCAUCAGGAGGUCUGGGGUCACCCUUGGCCUCGGACCAAACUUGGGCAAUGUCCAGCUGCUAGAGGAAGCAAAAGUC